RNAcentral lists this ribosomal RNA (251 nucleotides) under uncultured prokaryote. RNAcentral describes it as "partial 16S rRNA". It matches the Rfam family "Bacterial small subunit ribosomal RNA", at positions 525 to 775 of the family's 1533-position model. The record is from RNAcentral.
ACAGAGGGUGCAAGCGUUAAUCGGAAUUACUGGGCGUAAAGGGCGCGUAGGUGGUUAAUUAAGUCGGAUGUGAAAUCCCUGGGCUUAACCUAGGAAUUGCAUACGAAACUGAUUGGCUAGAGUAUGAGAGAGGGAAGUGGAAUUUCCGGUGUAGCGGUGAAAUGCGUAGAUAUCGGAAGGAACACCAGUGGCGAAGGCGACUUCCUGGCUCAUUACUGACACUGAGGCGCGAAAGCGUGGGGAGCGAACAG